RNAcentral lists this ribosomal RNA (253 nucleotides) under uncultured bacterium. Its description in RNAcentral is "partial 16S ribosomal RNA". It matches the Rfam family "Bacterial small subunit ribosomal RNA", at positions 524 to 776 of the family's 1533-position model. The record is from RNAcentral.
UACGGGGGGAGCAAACGUUGUUCGGGAUCACUGGGCGUAAAGGGCGUGUAGGCGGCUGGAUAAGUGGGAUGUUAAAUCCCCCGGCUCAACCGGGGACCUGCAUCUCAUACUGUUCAGCUCGAGCACAUCAGAGGAGACUGGAAUUCCCGGUGUAGCGGUGAAAUGCGCAGAUAUCAGGAAGAACACCCGUGGCGAAGGCGGUUCUCUGGGACGGUACUGACGCUGAGACGCGAAAGCGUGGGGAGCGAACAGG